AUGGGGAUGGUGCAAUGGCAGCAUGGAUGUCUCCAAAACAUCGGAUGGAGGUUCAAACCCUCCUCCCUAUGA
RNAcentral lists this transfer RNA (72 nucleotides) under Caudoviricetes sp. RNAcentral describes it as "tRNA-Trp". It matches the Rfam family "tRNA". From Rfam's summary of the family: Transfer RNA (tRNA) molecules are approximately 80 nucleotides in length. Lineage: Duplodnaviria; Heunggongvirae; Uroviricota; Caudoviricetes. The record is from RNAcentral.